CUUUUGGUGCGAUGUGAUUUUGUUUAAGCUUGAAAAAGUGAGAAUUUGCAACCUAAAAAAAGCUCCUAUUUGCAAGAUUGGCUUUUAUAGGGCCGAAUCUAAAUCUAUGCAUCGACCACUUGGGU
This 125-nucleotide non-coding RNA is filed under the name Campylobacter ureolyticus. RNAcentral describes it as "purD RNA motif". It matches the Rfam family "purD RNA motif". Lineage: Bacteria; Pseudomonadati; Campylobacterota; Epsilonproteobacteria; Campylobacterales; Campylobacteraceae. The record is from RNAcentral.